Molecule: long non-coding RNA, 2074 nt
Organism: Galeopterus variegatus (Sunda flying lemur)
Lineage: Eukaryota; Metazoa; Chordata; Mammalia; Dermoptera; Cynocephalidae
Exons: 2
Source: RefSeq, a predicted model, not a curated record
UCUCCUCCUCUUUACAAUCGUUAAAUAGACUAACUUCUGCUCAAUUUUGUUACUGAUCUUGAAUCUCCAGACCCUGUGCUCACUUUCUGCUGGUACCUGGUGGAACGUUCCCACGCCAUCUUCCUGGAGGACUUCACAGUCUUGAUUUUCACAGUCAUUUUAGUGCCUCCUGACAGUUUACAUGCUACUUUGCACAGGUCAGGGUUAAGUCAUGAGCAUACCCUAGCAAUCAGAGAAUCUGUGGUUUCCAAAGUGUGUUAGAGUUUCACAUAUGCACGCUGAUAGCCUAGCUUCAUCGACAUGAGCAGAACAGCAUUGGUUCUCAAAUCCUCACAUCACUGGGAGACAAGAUCACUUUACAAUUAGCUUGCAGUUUGUGUCAUCUUACAUAAGGGCUGCAGCAUAUCUGUACCUCAUGGGGGUCGCUUGUUGACAAUAGCAGAAUCCAGUUGUCAAGCAAAUUGGUGAGUAAAAAAUAGUAUAAUUUAAAAAUGAAUUACCCAUUAACUAUAUUUCUCCCACAAGCAUAUCUGGAAUCCCAAAUAACAGCUGUAGAUAUGAGUACAUUAAUUAAUUCUGACCCAAGAAAACUCAGUUUUCAAUCCUGUAUUGUAUUUCUAAAGACAUGAAGAAUUACGAGACCCCUACUCGAAAUCUUUGGAGCCAAGUAUCUUUCAGAAUUCUAAUUUUCAGACUUUAGAAAGGCAGAGUGGUGCCUGUGCUGGUUGUACACUAAGUGUCCGGGCAGUGCUCAGGAGUCAAAUACGGUUGAUCUUCAUUAAUUUGCAGGUUCCAUAUUUGCAAAUUAGUCUAUUUGAUAACAUUUAUUUGUAACCAGAAAAGGAAUACUCACAGUGCUUUCUUGGUUAUUCACAGAUGCACACAGAGCAUGCUCAUGUUCCCAGCUCUCAUACAGUGACCAAGAGUCCUUUACACUAUCUAUUUAGGGCCAUGUUUUUUGCAUUUUUGUGCUUUUUGUUGGUGAUUUUGCUGUUUAAAGUUUCCCCCAGGUGCAGUGCUGAAGUGCUGUCUGGUGUUUCUUAGCACAAGAGGCUGUGAUGUGCCACACGGAGGAAACGGGGAUGGAGCUAAUGAGAAGUGAAAUGACCAAGGCCAGGCAGCGGACCAGAGAGAAUCAGUGGCAGGCCAGCAUCGGGACACCUGGUGCCAAACGAUUAGGAGCUGCCUAUAGAACAGAAGAAAAAGUUGGUGAUCUAUAUAUAUAUAUGCACAUGUAUACACACGUGACAACAUGUUAUUUUUAUUUUUAAAUGUCAGAUUUGUUUGAUUGAUAAAUAUAUGGAUAUUUUCAAAUUAAAAAUAAAGAGAAAUGUACUUAUUAAAGGCUUACUUGGAAAUUAAGAUCUAACACUAUAAAUUUAAAAGUCAUAAAAUAUUCUUUUGCAUAUUGUUUGUUUGAAGUACCUUGAGCUAUGUAAUAUAAUACAUAAUAUUACAUAUAUUUUAUAGACAUAUAUGGUCGAAUUUUAAUUGAAGAAGUGGCAACCUCUUAGGCUACUUAAGAUUACACGGGACUUAGAAUUUUUUCUUUUUUGAUGAAUUUUGUAAUUUCUAGCUUUAAAUGCAUAGCUACUAUGGCAAUUAUUAGAAAAAUCAUAUAUGAAUCAAAUUAUUUGAAACUUUUUUAUCAUUGGAAAUCUUAAAUAUAUUUUGUUUUAAAUAUGCCUCUAAUUUCCUGAUUAGUCUUUGGUAAUUUACAUCAUCAGUUAAGAUUCAACCCUAAAAAUCUAUGAAAGAAUAAUAACUAGAAUUUUGUUUUUACAUGACUGCACAAAUAAGGACUUGUUUACUUCUUUAUCUAUAUCUAUAUGAAUGCAUAUAUAUAAUUUUCUAAAUUGUUUUUUUCUUUUUAACACGGGGAAUGCAGUAUGACUGUCAACAAUGCACAAAAUGACUACCUUCAUUUUGAACAUGAUUCAGUAUUUACGCAAACUUUGAAAGCUGAAAGCAAAAUUGUCAUAGACAUAGUGGUAAAUAAGCUGAGAAGAAAGGGAAAAUGAUGGAAGAAUACACAGUUUGUCAUUAUGUAUCUAAAAAAUCAUCCUUGUUUCCA